UACCACUACUCCUACCUCUCCACCACACUACUCCUUUUCCCCCACCACUACAUUCUUUCUCCCACUCUCACAACUUUUCUCCCACCAUUAUCACACUCCAUAGAAGCCUUUGAAGCCCCAAGAGAAGUAGCAAAGCAAGGGAGAGUGUGGGAAAACUAUAGAGUGAAGGUUGUGCUUCGAGGGUCCGGGCGACAGAAAGUGAAGCCGAAGAAGAAACGACUCCACGCCAGCUUUAAGAACAAUUGAGGUUGAGCAGGCGAUGGAAUGGAUCGGUGUUGAGCGGAUUUCCCUUUUGAUGUUUAUGUAAUGAAACCUUGAGUAUGCAUCUCCAUAUGCAUAACUCACACGUUUUUUCGCUGCAAACACUCUGACUUAUUUAUCAUUUCUACUUGAACUUAUUACUACUUCAUUUUAAUUAACUUUCAGUUGGGGUCUAAUCGUUAUGGCAGACUCAUUUGUGAAUUACCCAAGUGGUUAUAUAUAUAUACCACUAGUUUGUUAUUAA
Long non-coding RNA from Salvia miltiorrhiza (redroot sage), 505 nucleotides. RefSeq lists it as uncharacterized. The transcript is spliced from 3 exons. The record is from RefSeq and is a predicted model, not a curated record. NCBI's taxonomy places the organism in Eukaryota, Viridiplantae, Streptophyta, Magnoliopsida, Lamiales, Lamiaceae.